UUGUGGUUGGGUUCGUCGGUCCGGCACAUUGUGCGGGUACUUGAUGGACUCGUCCAUCCUUGGGUGGAAUCUGUGUGGCAUUAAGUUGUCGUGCAGGGGAUGCCCAUCGUUUACUGUGAAAAAAUUAGAGUGUUCAAAGCAGGCUUAUGCCGUUGAAUAUAUUAGCAUGGAAUAAUGAGAUAGGACCUUGGUACUAUUUUGUUGGUUUGCGCACCGAGGUAAUGAUUAAUAGGGACAGUUGGGGGUAUUCGUAUUCCAUUGUCAGAGGUGAAAUUCUUGGAUUUUUGGAAGACGAACUACUGCGAAAGCAUUUACCAAGGAUGUUUUCAUUAAUCAAGAACGAAAGUUAGGGGAUCGAAGAUGAUUA
RNAcentral lists this ribosomal RNA (367 nucleotides) under Fragilaria sp. RCC5536. RNAcentral describes it as "SSU rRNA". It matches the Rfam family "Eukaryotic small subunit ribosomal RNA", at positions 628 to 1010 of the family's 1831-position model. Lineage: Eukaryota; Bacillariophyta; Fragilariophyceae; Fragilariales; Fragilariaceae. The record is from RNAcentral.